Molecule: ribosomal RNA, 117 nt
Filed under: Diaphorina citri (Asian citrus psyllid)
Lineage: Eukaryota; Metazoa; Arthropoda; Insecta; Hemiptera; Psyllidae
Source: RNAcentral
GACAGCGGCGAUAGCACGCUCAAUACACCAUUUUCCAAUUAUCACCGAAGUUAAGGAACAUUGCGCGUGGUUAGUAUCCGGAUGGGUGACCAUCUGGGCAAUCGCGUGCUGGUUUUC